Molecule: ribosomal RNA, 2905 nt
Filed under: Enterobacter hormaechei
Lineage: Bacteria; Pseudomonadati; Pseudomonadota; Gammaproteobacteria; Enterobacterales; Enterobacteriaceae
Description: 23S ribosomal RNA
Rfam family: Bacterial large subunit ribosomal RNA
Source: RNAcentral
GGUUAAGCGACUAAGCGUACACGGUGGAUGCCCUGGCAGUCAGAGGCGAUGAAGGACGUGCUAAUCUGCGAAAAGCGCCGGCGAGGUGAUAUGAACCUUUGACCCGGCGAUGUCCGAAUGGGGAAACCCAGUGCAAUCCGUUGCACUAUCGUUAACUGAAUACAUAGGUUAACGAGGCGAACCGGGGGAACUGAAACAUCUAAGUACCCCGAGGAAAAGAAAUCAACCGAGAUUCCCCCAGUAGCGGCGAGCGAACGGGGAGCAGCCCGGAGUCUGAAUCAGCUUGUGUGUUAGUGGAACGGUCUGGAAAGUCCGACGGUACAGGGUGAUAGUCCCGUACACGAAAGCACACAUGCUGUGAACUCGAAGAGUAGGGCGGGACACGUGGUAUCCUGUCUGAAUAUGGGGGGACCAUCCUCCAAGGCUAAAUACUCCUGACUGACCGAUAGUGAACCAGUACCGUGAGGGAAAGGCGAAAAGAACCCCGGCGAGGGGAGUGAAAAAGAACCUGAAACCGUGUACGUACAAGCAGUGGGAGCCUCUUUAUGGGGUGACUGCGUACCUUUUGUAUAAUGGGUCAGCGACUUAUAUUCUGUAGCAAGGUUAACCGUAUAGGGGAGCCGAAGGGAAACCGAGUCUUAACUGGGCGUUAAGUUGCAGGGUAUAGACCCGAAACCCGGUGAUCUAGCCAUGGGCAGGUUGAAGGUUGGGUAACACUAACUGGAGGACCGAACCGACUAAUGUUGAAAAAUUAGCGGAUGACCUGUGGCUGGGGGUGAAAGGCCAAUCAAACCGGGAGAUAGCUGGUUCUCCCCGAAAGCUAUUUAGGUAGCGCCUCGUGAACUCAUCUUCGGGGGUAGAGCACUGUUUCGGCUAGGGGGCCAUCCCGGCUUACCAACCCGAUGCAAACUACGAAUACCGAAGAAUGUUAUCACGGGAGACACACGGCGGGUGCUAACGUCCGUCGUGAAGAGGGAAACAACCCAGACCGCCAGCUAAGGUCCCAAAGUCAUGGUUAAGUGGGAAACGAUGUGGGAAGGCACAGACAGCCAGGAUGUUGGCUUAGAAGCAGCCAUCAUUUAAAGAAAGCGUAAUAGCUCACUGGUCGAGUCGGCCUGCGCGGAAGAUGUAACGGGGCUAAACCAUGCACCGAAGCUGCGGCAGCGACACUAUGUGUUGUUGGGUAGGGGAGCGUUCUGUAAGCCGUUGAAGGUGUCCUGUGAGGGGUGCUGGAGGUAUCAGAAGUGCGAAUGCUGACAUAAGUAACGAUAAAGCGGGUGAAAAGCCCGCUCGCCGGAAGACCAAGGGUUCCUGUCCAACGUUAAUCGGGGCAGGGUGAGUCGACCCCUAAGGCGAGGCCGAAAGGCGUAGUCGAUGGGAAACAGGUUAAUAUUCCUGUACUUGGUGUUACUGCGAAGGGGGGACGGAGAAGGCUAUGUCAGCCGGGCGACGGUUGUCCCGGUUUAAGCAUGUAGGCGGAGGUUCCAGGUAAAUCCGGUACCUUGUUAACGCUGAGGUGUGAUGACGAGGCACUACGGUGCUGAAGUGAUAAAUGCCCUGCUUCCAGGAAAAGCCUCUAAGCAUCAGGUAACACGAAAUCGUACCCCAAACCGACACAGGUGGUCAGGUAGAGAAUACCAAGGCGCUUGAGAGAACUCGGGUGAAGGAACUAGGCAAAAUGGUGCCGUAACUUCGGGAGAAGGCACGCUGAUGUGUAGGUGAAGUCCCUGCGGACGGAGCUGAAAUCAGUCGAAGAUACCAGCUGGCUGCAACUGUUUAUUAAAAACACAGCACUGUGCAAACACGAAAGUGGACGUAUACGGUGUGACGCCUGCCCGGUGCCGGAAGGUUAAUUGAUGGGGUUAGCGGCAACGCGAAGCUCUUGAUCGAAGCCCCGGUAAACGGCGGCCGUAACUAUAACGGUCCUAAGGUAGCGAAAUUCCUUGUCGGGUAAGUUCCGACCUGCACGAAUGGCGUAAUGAUGGCCAGGCUGUCUCCACCCGAGACUCAGUGAAAUUGAACUCGCUGUGAAGAUGCAGUGUACCCGCGGCAAGACGGAAAGACCCCGUGAACCUUUACUAUAGCUUGACACUGAACACUGGUCCUUGAUGUGUAGGAUAGGUGGGAGGCUUUGAAGCGUGGACGCCAGUCUGCGUGGAGCCAACCUUGAAAUACCACCCUUUAAUGGCUGGUGUUCUAACGUAGACCCGUAAUCCGGGUUGCGGACAGUGUCUGGUGGGUAGUUUGACUGGGGCGGUCUCCUCCCAAAGAGUAACGGAGGAGCACGAAGGUUGGCUAAUCCUGGUCGGACAUCAGGAGGUUAGUGCAAUGGCAUAAGCCAGCUUGACUGCGAGCGUGACGGCGCGAGCAGGUGCGAAAGCAGGUCAUAGUGAUCCGGUGGUUCUGAAUGGAAGGGCCAUCGCUCAACGGAUAAAAGGUACUCCGGGGAUAACAGGCUGAUACCGCCCAAGAGUUCAUAUCGACGGCGGUGUUUGGCACCUCGAUGUCGGCUCAUCACAUCCUGGGGCUGAAGUAGGUCCCAAGGGUAUGGCUGUUCGCCAUUUAAAGUGGUACGCGAGCUGGGUUUAGAACGUCGUGAGACAGUUCGGUCCCUAUCUGCCGUGGGCGCUGGAGAAUUGAGGGGGGCUGCUCCUAGUACGAGAGGACCGGAGUGGACGCAUCACUGGUGUUCGGGUUGUCAUGCCAAUGGCACUGCCCGGUAGCUAAAUGCGGAAGAGAUAAGUGCUGAAAGCAUCUAAGCACGAAACUUGCCCCGAGAUGAGUUCUCCCUGAGACCUUGAGUCUCCUGAAGGAACGUUGAAGACGACGACGUUGAUAGGUCGGGUGUGUAAGCGCAGCGAUGCGUUGAGCUAACCGAUACUAAUGAACCGUGAGGCUUAACCUU